Molecule: ribosomal RNA, 454 nt
Filed under: uncultured rhizosphere oomycete
Lineage: Eukaryota; Oomycota
Description: eukaryotic LSU rRNA
Rfam family: Eukaryotic large subunit ribosomal RNA
Source: RNAcentral
GUGCGAGACCGAUAGCGAACAAGUACCGUGAGGGAAAGAUGAAAAGAACUUUGAAAAGAGAGUUAAAGAGUACCUGAAACUGCUGAAAGGGAAGCGAAUCGUAUCCAGUGCCUAUAAUCUGCGACAUAUUUCAUUGGCGAGUGAGUGCGUGCAGCGUUUUGGAAGCGGUCUCCGCUCCUGUCGUUGUUGUGCAUUUGCUUGCUGGUGCCCUGUGCUGUGGUGGGACGUCAGAGUCAGUUUGUAUGUUGCGGGAAAUGGUUAUCAGGGAGGUAGGUCGCUUCGGUGGCUGUUAUAUCCUGGUAACUAGUCGUCGUGGCUGAGACUGAGGUGCCUACAACGCGCUUUCGAGUCUGCGGGCUUCUCGUGUGGCUGUUUGCUUUGAUAGCUUGCUAUGUUGGUGAAUAAGUCGUGCGAUUGAGACCUGUAGUAACUUGUUGCUGUUCGGGACUUUGAA